Molecule: long non-coding RNA, 1935 nt
Organism: Diceros bicornis minor
Lineage: Eukaryota; Metazoa; Chordata; Mammalia; Perissodactyla; Rhinocerotidae
Exons: 3
Source: RefSeq, a predicted model, not a curated record
GGGGUGGAGAAUUCUUGUAGGAAUCUGAAGCCUUGAGUGUGCUCUGCAAUUUUUUUUUUAGAUUUCAUUAAAUGUUCUGUACAAAGGCCUUCUCUGUCCAGAGCAGGGCACUUCCCGUCCUGUGGACUUUAAUGUGUUGACUCCUCCUCAGCACACCUGUUCUGGAUAAUGCUCUCCCUAACUUUGCUGAGUCCUAUGGUGGGGUGUAGUGGCUUCCACUGAUGCCUACUUUCCAUCAGAAAGCUUCUCCCCACCCUGGAGGACAUUAGCGGGACUCUUCCGAAUGUUGCCGACUUACCUUUCUUCAGAACUACGUGGAGGUGUGAGUGGGAUUAAGAGUCCAUUAUCUAAUUUCUGAGAUCCUGGAGGAAAUGAAGGAAUGGCCACCUAUCAAAAAAUAGCAAACACUGAAAAGUUUUGGAGAUGUAACCACCAGCCAUCCUGAAACUGACCAAGCCUCACCACAAGAGCUGUGCCCAUGACCUUUGCCUUAUUUUUAAUGCUACGAUCUCUCCAGGAGGAGCUUAGCCCUCACUAAAUGGAAGCUUGUUCUCCCACUGAGCCUGUGCAAGCGAAUACCUGCCUCUCCCUUUUGAAUAUUCAUUCCCCAACCAAAUAAAAGUUCCUGCUUCCCUUUGUUCGCGGAUGCCGUGACUUUGGAAACGAUUGCUCGUGGCCUCCUAUUUGCUGCAAAUACACUUUACUUUGUGAGACAACUUCCACUGGUGUAGAGUCUCAUUUAACUCACCAGGAGGCGAGCCCACUUGGUUCGGUAUCACUAUCUGUUAGUGUCAAGCAAAAUGUGGAUUGAAAUAAUCAUGAUCUUUACCUUGAUCAUUCCCAAACUCCCUACAGUCAGCUGUUUCGCAGGAGGAGCUGGGAAGAUUGAGAGCACUACUUUAAAUAAAAAUCAGUUUUCAGUACCUCUUACAGAUGAAUAUCCAGGUCCUCUGACUAGGUAUUUGGGAAUGGUCAUUGUCAUCUCCGCAAGUGCACUACUCUGCAGUCCUGGUGUUCACUUCUGCCCCAACUUGACUCAGAGCCAGCCGCAGAAUCCAGAGAGCUGCCACCAGUCCCUCAGUGUCAGCACUUGAGCUGAAACUGAUCUGCCAUUCUUGGUAAGUGUAAAUGAGUAAUCCUAAAAAUUAGAAUGGAUGAAAUUAACAUUAAAGCCCACUUUCUCACUUAAUUCUGAAAGCGUUGUAGAAUCUUGGACUGUUAGGUGUUCCUCAUUCUGAGAACAAAUUUUGAUUGUUUCAGAGAAAUACAGGAGUAACAGUGAAUAUUCAGUUACUCAUUUACGUAUUCAUUCUCUCCACAAAUAUGCUUUGAGUGUCUACAAAAUGCUGAGCAGUGUGAUUCCUGCCGGAAAGGUACAAUCUUUAUCUUUGAAGGUUCUUGGUGUAGCAAGGGAGAUGGAUGUGCAUGUGAGAAUGUUGUCAGGGCCCCAACUGAGGCUUGUAGAACAGAUUCAGGGAACCAUCGAUUGUGCCUCUUAGGGUUGGGGGUAAGGAUUCACACAGCUCCAGGUUCUCCUGAACUGGGCACUAAAGCAGGUGUCAAUAUUAUUAUUGAUUUGUGAUUUAAAGAUAACUUUAAUAUCUAUCUUCUAUUCUUAAUGCUACUAGUUAAAAUUCAUCAAAAGUAAUAGCAAGAGAGCAGUUGAAGAUAAAUAUCUUUGGGGACUUGCUGCGGCUAUAAAGCCUCACUUAGAACCCUCCAGAGAACCUCCCUCAUCUACAUACAGCUGCCUUUCUCCCUGAGCAAGGCACAGAAGCACAGACCUCUCUCUCUCUUCUCAAUUCUGCGCAUUUUUCAUAUCUGCUUUCCUGCUGUUGCUCAGUGAAAGUAAGUAGAGACUUCAUCAGACUGGCUCAGCGGCUUUCGAAAUUUUUUUGACCACAACCCAUAAAAAAAAUAAAUUUAAAAUUUCAA